This 817-nucleotide long non-coding RNA is filed under the name Triticum aestivum (bread wheat). RNAcentral describes it as "long non-coding RNA (TAES_LNC010483)". The record is from RNAcentral. Lineage: Eukaryota; Viridiplantae; Streptophyta; Magnoliopsida; Poales; Poaceae.
UAAUAUGUAAAUUAAGCUCCAAAGUGCAUAAUAGUUCAAAGUGAAUAGGUCGUAUUACAUAGAUAAGAGUUCACCAAUCCCAAUUAUCAGAUGGCUUAAGAAAGCAUAAAUUCGUAGUUGCGAUGAGAUAAUGUCCAAAAUAAAAUUCAAAGUGCCUUCAUUUGAGUUCACCAACAGAGUUCAACAAAAAUGACCGAAAUAUAGCAACUGAGUGUACCACUUCUCCCCUUUUCUAGAGUAAAUGAUAUUGCUUGGAACCCAACAAACCAAGUAUACCUGCAGAUGUUUCUAUGAAUUGAACUCCAGCAGAUAUCACCAAAAGAACCUUCAACAAAACGUCCUCCAGGCAUCAUCACCAAGAGCACCACAAUAAUCUUUCAGCUAUCAUCACAAAAAGAAAGUCCUGCUGCAAAUCAAAUAAACACAUGGAUUAAGUCAUUAUUUAGCACAAAAUAACAUGAAGAAAGUUGCAACGCACCAACUAAAACAAAACAGCAAUUAUACCUGCAUCUGUUCCUAUUUGGCCUCUUUGCCCCGGAGCUGCACUUUGGUGGCCUUCUUUGUCCUCUUUCUCACUUGAGUGUCAUCUCCAUCAGAAUUUCCUUUGGUGACCUUCUUGCCCGCUUGAGCGUCAUUUCCAUCAUCAGACUUCUUGCCCACUUGAGUGUAAUCUACAUCAGAUUCCUUUGUCCUCUUGACCACUUGAGUGUCAUCUCCAUCAGAUUUUCCUUUGGUCACCUUCCUUGUCUUCUUGCCCGCUUGAGUGUCAUCUCCAUCAGAUUUUCCUUUGGUGACCUUCCUUGUCUUCUUGCCCGCU